Molecule: ribosomal RNA, 272 nt
Filed under: uncultured Staphylococcus sp.
Lineage: Bacteria; Bacillati; Bacillota; Bacilli; Caryophanales; Staphylococcaceae
Description: partial 16S ribosomal RNA
Rfam family: Bacterial small subunit ribosomal RNA
Source: RNAcentral
ACGUUAGCGGCGGACGGGUGAGUAACACGUGGGUAACCUACCUAUAAGACUGGGAUAACUUCGGGAAACCGGAGCUAAUACCGGAUAAUAUUUCGAACCGCAUGGUUCGAUAGUGAAAGGUGGUUUUGCUAUCACUUAUAGAUGGACCCGCGCCGUAUUAGCUAGUUGGUAAGGUAACGGCUUACCAAGCGACGAUACGUAGCCGACCUGAGAGGGUGAUCGGCCACACUGGAACUGAGACACGGUCCAGACUCCUACGGGAGGCAGCAGCA